ACCACCACGGAUUGUUCAAGAUUGACCAUCCUCUGUCUCUGCCGAGAAGUGGAUACCAAGGGGACCCUCGUAGCCGCCCUUCCUCGCAAGGAUCCCAGGAACAACCACCUUGUCAAACCUAAGAAGGUAGAGGAACCGAUGGAUCAACUGAUCCAAACUUGCUUUCCCACGCACAGAUGGAGCAAGAGUGGCAGUUACAUAGGGUCCCAUCUGAUCAGGUUUGGCCAACAACCGUU
RNAcentral lists this ribosomal RNA (236 nucleotides) under Triticum aestivum (bread wheat). RNAcentral describes it as "partial small subunit ribosomal RNA". Lineage: Eukaryota; Viridiplantae; Streptophyta; Magnoliopsida; Poales; Poaceae. The record is from RNAcentral.